GGAAUAUUGGGCAAUGGGCGAGAGCCUGACCCAGCCAUGCCGCGUGCCGGAUGAAGGCCUUCUGGGUUGUAAACGGCUUUUCUCAGGGAAGAAAAAGGGGAUGCGUCCCAAACUGACGGUACCUGAGGAAUAAGCACCGGCUAACUCCGUGCCAGCAGCCGCGGUAAUACGGAGGGUGCAAGCGUUGUCCGGAUUUAUUGGGUUUAAAGGGUGCGUAGGUGGCCCGUUAAGUCCGGGGUGAAAGCCCACAGCUCAACUGUGGAACUGCCCUGGAUACUGGCGGGCUUGAGAGUAGUCGAGGGUGGCGGAAUGGACGGUGUAGCGGUGAAAUGCAUAGAUACCGUCCAGAACCCCAAUUGCGUAGGCAGCUGCCUAGGCUACAUCUGACACUGAGGCACGAAAGCGUGGGGAGCGAACAGGAUUAGAUACCCUGGUAGUCCCACGCCGUAAACGAUGGAUACUCGUUGCCAGCGAUAGACUGUUGGUGACUUAGCGAAAGCGUUAAGUAUCCCACCUGGGGAGUACGCUCGCAAGC
This 535-nucleotide ribosomal RNA is filed under the name Hymenobacter roseosalivarius. RNAcentral describes it as "bacterial SSU rRNA". It matches the Rfam family "Bacterial small subunit ribosomal RNA", at positions 358 to 893 of the family's 1533-position model. Lineage: Bacteria; Pseudomonadati; Bacteroidota; Cytophagia; Cytophagales; Hymenobacteraceae. The record is from RNAcentral.